Camelina sativa (false flax) is the source of this 1135-nucleotide non-coding RNA. The record is from RefSeq and is a predicted model, not a curated record. Lineage: Eukaryota; Viridiplantae; Streptophyta; Magnoliopsida; Brassicales; Brassicaceae.
ACAAAAAAUCUAUCCCUAAUUCUACUCCACUAACAGCUCCACGUUCAAGGUGGUGUACAACCGUUAUAUCUUCUAUAUAAAUCCAAUUUGAGUUGAUUCUCUAUUCAAUUUUCUCUGUAUUUAUCUCCUCUUCAUUGUUUUUUUCUUCUGGAUUUGCAAUUCUCACACUGGUUGAAGAUGCCUCUGAAUUCCACUCCUCUCUCAAAUCUAAAUUCUUUAAAAACAGAAUGGAAGAUCAGAGUUCUAAUAGUCCGAACAUACCAUCUUUAGGGAUUCCCAAAAAAAAGAUAAACCAGAUUUUUUUUCAGGAAUCUAAUCUUUUCCUUGUGGAUGAAAAUAUAUGUUCAAGUUCGCUUAUGCAUUUUUGACUAUCUAAUAUUUACUAUUUUCAACUUUUUAGUUGUUAGGCCAAUGAAACAAGAAAACAUAUUUAAUCCAUGGUUUUACCAUGUCAUUACAAACAAUCAUGUCACGUUUUGCUGUGUUCUUCUAACUUAAUUUAAGUCUCAUGUACUAAUUUUAUAAAAACUCUAUAUGACAAGUUCUUUUGUUUGAUUUUGAAACAGGGAAGUAGGAUACAAUCCAAAACUUAAUAGUGCUCUCUCUCUCUCUCUCUUUCUCUCUCUCUCUCUCUCUCUCUCUCUCUCUCUCUCUCUCUCUCUCUCUCUCGAUGCAGUUAUCUGGUAAUCAACAUCUUUUGUUUGUGAAUUGAUAUGAUCUAUGAUUAUUCCAUGUCUUUCUCUUUAUUCAAAUCUCUGUUUUUAUCAAACUCUGUUGCUGAAUUUGAUCUAUUUGCAAUCUCAUAUAAAUGUUAAUGAUUCUUAUAAUGUGAUCUGGUUUAUGUAGAGCUAUUUUCUGAUCGGAGAUUAUGUGUUGUUUCGUAUACGGUGAAGAGUUGGGAUAAUGUUUCCACGCUUCUUGGCCUUUUUCGUCGAAUUAGUAGCUUUUGCCUCGGUAGGUUCUUACAAUACGCUUCAUUUCUUAGAGUACAAAAAAUUGGUUGCCUGAGUUUUUCAUUCUUAAACGAUGUAAAGCAUCUUUGUGUCUAAAAAUGUCACACACUCUCUUAUAAGUUACAUGAUUAUUUUGUUUGCAAAUCUAAUUAUGUAAAUGCAUAUCCACAUUCUCCUUCUAA